RNAcentral lists this ribosomal RNA (468 nucleotides) under uncultured bacterium. RNAcentral's name for it is "partial 16S ribosomal RNA". It matches the Rfam family "Bacterial small subunit ribosomal RNA", at positions 28 to 507 of the family's 1533-position model. The record is from RNAcentral.
GACGAACGCUGGCGGCGUGCUUAACACAUGCAAGUCGAACGGAAAGGCCCUGCUUUUGUGGGGUGCGCGAGUGGCGAACGGGUGAGUAACACGUGAGUAACCUGCCCUUGACUUUGGGAUAACUUCAGGAAACUGGGGCUAAUACCGGAUAGGAGCUCCUGCUGCAUGGUGGGGGUUGGAAAGUUUCGGCGGUUGGGGAUGGACUCGCGGCUUAUCAGCUUGUUGGUGGGGUAGUGGCUUACCAAGGCUUUGACGGGUAGCCGGCCUGAGAGGGUGACCGGCCACAUUGGGACUGAGAUACGGCCCAGACUCCUACGGGAGGCAGCAGUGGGGAAUAUUGCACAAUGGGCGGAAGCCUGAUGCAGCAACGCAGCGUGCGGGAUGACGGCCUUCGGGUUGUAAACCGCUUUCGCCUGUGACGAAGCGUGAGUGACGGUAAUGGGUAAAGAAACACCGGCUAACUACGUG